This 358-nucleotide transfer RNA is filed under the name uncultured Microcystis sp. Its description in RNAcentral is "partial 16S-23S ribosomal RNA intergenic spacer". The stretch from base 133 to 206 matches the Rfam family "tRNA". The record is from RNAcentral. Lineage: Bacteria; Bacillati; Cyanobacteriota; Cyanophyceae; Chroococcales; Microcystaceae.
AAGGGAGACCUAAUUCCGGUAGGAGACGAAAAAAAAGUAGUCCCAACCAAGAAUCAAUCCCAAAAGGUCGGAACGAGGUAUGAGGCUUUCAAACUAGGUUCUGGGUUCAUAAAAGACCUGAAUCAGGAACAAGGGCUAUUAGCUCAGGUGGUUAGAGCGCACCCCUGAUAAGGGUAAAGUCCCUGGUUCGAGUCCAGGAUGGCCCACCUGCACAGGUGGCAAAAACAAGAGAAGCUCCGAAUCAGCACCUUAUCUUAUAUACAUAUAUAAGAGAGAAUGCUGGCUCUGAGUAAAGAGUCCAGAGGAACCUUGAAAACUGCAUAGAGCUAGGUGAAAAAGCCAAAAAAGAAGACCGCAA